RNAcentral lists this ribosomal RNA (442 nucleotides) under uncultured bacterium. RNAcentral describes it as "partial 16S ribosomal RNA". It matches the Rfam family "Bacterial small subunit ribosomal RNA", at positions 338 to 795 of the family's 1533-position model. The record is from RNAcentral.
CCUACGGGAGGCAGCAGUAGGGAAUCUUUCACAAUGGGCGAAAGCCUGAUGGAGCAACGCCGCGUGCAGGAUGAAGGCCUUCGGGUUGUAAACUGCUUUUAUAAGCGAGAAAUAUGAUGGUAACUUAUGAAUAAGGAUCGGCUAACUACGUGCCAGCAGCCGCGGUCAUACGUAGGAUCCGAGCAUUAUCCGGAGUGACUGGGUGUAAAGAGUUGCGUAGGUGGCAUAAUAAGUAGCUAGUGAAAUCUGGUGGCUCAACCAUUCAGACUAUUAGCUAUACUGUUAAGCUCGAGACCGUUAGGGGUAACUGGAAUUUCAAGUGUAGGAGUGAAAUCCGUAGAUAUGAGAAGGAACACCAAUAGCGUAGGCAGGUUGCUGGGACGGUUCUGACACUAAGGCACGAAAGCGUAGGGAGCAAACGGGAUUAGAUACCCGAGUAGUC